RNAcentral lists this ribosomal RNA (484 nucleotides) under uncultured bacterium. Its description in RNAcentral is "partial 16S ribosomal RNA". It matches the Rfam family "Bacterial small subunit ribosomal RNA", at positions 30 to 507 of the family's 1533-position model. The record is from RNAcentral.
AUUGAACGCUGGCGGAAUGCUUUACACAUGCAAGUCGAACGGCAGCACGGGGGCAGCCCUGGUGGCGAGUGGCGAACGGGUGAGUAAUACAUCGGAACGUGCCCGGUCGUGGGGGAUAACGUAGCGAAAGUUACGCUAAUACCGCAUACGAUCUGAGGAUGAAAGCGGGGGACCUUCGGGCCUCGCGCGAUCGGAGCGGCCGAUGUCAGAUUAGGUAGUUGGUGGGUUAAAGGCCUACCAAGCCGACGAUCUGUAGCUGGUCUGAGAGGACGACCAGCCACACUGGGACUGAGACACGGCCCAGACUCCUACGGGAGGCAGCAGUGGGGAAUUUUGGACAAAGGGCGCAAGCCUGAUCCAGCCAUUCCGCGUGCAGGACGAAGGCCUUCGGGUUGUAAACUGCUUUUGUACGGAACGAAAAGGCUCUGGCUAAUACCUGGGGCUCAUGACGGUACCGUAAGAAUAAGCACCGGCUAACUACGUG